RNAcentral lists this ribosomal RNA (465 nucleotides) under uncultured bacterium. RNAcentral describes it as "partial 16S ribosomal RNA". It matches the Rfam family "Bacterial small subunit ribosomal RNA", at positions 338 to 795 of the family's 1533-position model. The record is from RNAcentral.
CCUACGGGAGGCAGCAGUAGGGAAUCUUCCACAAUGGGCGAAAGCCUGAUGGAGCAACGCCGCGUGGGUGAAGAAGGUCUUCGGAUCGUAAAACCCUGUUGUUAGAGAAGAAAGUGCGUGAGAGUAACUGUUCACGUUUCGACGGUAUCUAACCAGAAAGCCACGGCUAACCACGUGCCAGCAGCCGCGGUAAUACGUAGGUGGCAAGCGUUAUCCGGAUUUAUUGGGCGUAAGGGGAACGCAGGCGGUCUUUUAAGUCUGAUGUGAAAGCCUUCGGCUUAACCGGAGUAGUGCAUUGGAAACUGGGAGACGUGAGUGCAGAAGAGGGGAGUGGAACUCGAUGUGUAGCGGUGAAAUGCGUAGAUAUAUGGAAGAACACCAGUGGCGAAAGCGGCUCUCUGGUCUGUAACUGACGCUGAGGUUCGAAAGCGUGGGUAGCAAACAGGAUUAGAUACCCCAGUUGUC